This 596-nucleotide long non-coding RNA is filed under the name Physcomitrium patens. RNAcentral's name for it is "long non-coding RNA (PPAT_LNC004597)". The record is from RNAcentral. Lineage: Eukaryota; Viridiplantae; Streptophyta; Bryopsida; Funariales; Funariaceae.
AAUUGAUUUUAUCUAUUUUGUACUUAUUUUUAACUAAGAUAUUAAAAAAUGUGAAAAAUUUGAGUUGACUUCAAUAAUUUGAUUAUUAGUUGUUGAGAUUUCGUUUGCUAUAGAGUUUAUUAAGAAAUUGUUUAAAAUCUAAGAUUUGAUUAGGAUUGGUUUUGGAUUUGAUUUAAGAUUUGCUUAAGAUUUAGUUUAGAACUAGUUUAGGAUUUUUCUAGGAUUUAGAAUUUCAUUAUUAUUUCAAUUAAGAUUUGAUCUAGGAUUUGAUUAAAAUUAAAUUAAGAUUUGACCUAAAAUAUGACCUAUGGUUUGAUUAAGAUUCAAUUAGGAUUUCAAUUAGGACUAUAUUAGGAUAUUUAUUUUUAAUAUUUUUUAGAAUUAUUUAUUAUUUUUUAAAUAUUUAUAUUUUUAGUAUAUCUUUAAGAUUAUUAUCAUUUCUUUAAAGGUUUAUUUUUAUAUUUUUUGAAAUUUCUUGUUAUUUUUCUUUGAGAUUAGUUUGAAACUUCUCUGUAUUUCUUUUAUAACUUCUUUUAAAUUUAUUUUUCAUCAAUCAAAGUUUGAUUAAGAUUAUUAAGGUUUUUUUAAGGUUAUUU